This 523-nucleotide long non-coding RNA is filed under the name Cyanistes caeruleus (blue tit). RNAcentral describes it as "lncRNA (ENSCCEG00000000243.1)". The record is from RNAcentral. Lineage: Eukaryota; Metazoa; Chordata; Aves; Passeriformes; Paridae.
CUUGUUUGGCCCAAAUCACACAUCUCCCCUGAUUCCAUUUGAUUCUGACUUUGGAUGGACUGUCUUUCAGUGUUGAGAGGAAAAUGAAGGACAGAGUCUGAGUGUCAGCCCCUGCAGCCAGCCCACACAUCAGCAGCCCAUGAAGUCAGAGUGCCAGGCACUGGAGACAGCAGAGUGGCUAAUGUGCCAACAGCUAGAGUGAGACCUUAGUGUCAUAGAGGCCCAUGUGCCUGUGCUGCCAAUUAUUGGAGCAAGUACAGCUGUGGAGACCUGUGCACUCUGAUCCAGAGUACUGAGGGCUCAUUGAGAGUGGAGCAGUCAGCAUGAAAUUCAGAAAGUGUGUGCUGGAGUCCAUUGCUUUCUUGGAGUCAAGUGUUAACAUAAGGCAAACCACUGAGAUCCUGUUGUUUUUGGGGGCAUUUCACCUGAAAUAAGAUGGUCUGAACAAUUUUUAAUAUUUUUAUUUGUAAACUCUUUAUGUUGAUAUAAGGCAGAGGAUUUACACACCAUACAUCACAUACUG